AUUGCUCACUCUCCCUCAAGGGCUUCCGAAUUUGCCUGUUAAAGGGCUUAAACUGAAGCGCUUGGGGAAGAGUGGAUAA
Molecule: microRNA precursor, 79 nt
Filed under: Theobroma cacao (cacao)
Lineage: Eukaryota; Viridiplantae; Streptophyta; Magnoliopsida; Malvales; Malvaceae
Description: pre miRNA MIR473
Rfam family: MIR473 microRNA precursor family
Source: Rfam by way of RNAcentral